This 335-nucleotide ribosomal RNA is filed under the name uncultured Pseudomonadota bacterium. RNAcentral's name for it is "bacterial SSU rRNA". It matches the Rfam family "Bacterial small subunit ribosomal RNA", at positions 29 to 351 of the family's 1533-position model. The record is from RNAcentral. Lineage: Bacteria; Pseudomonadati; Pseudomonadota.
AGCGAACGUUAGCGGCGGGCCUAACACAUGCAAGUCGAGCGAGAAAGUGGCUUCGGCCAUUAGUAAAGCGGCGGACGGGUGAGUAACACGUAGGUAAUCUUCCCUUGAGCGGGGGACAACGAGCCGAAAGGCUCGCUAAUACCGCAUAAGUUCCCAGGGACCUCGGUCUCUGGGAGGAAAGCUAGGUAGCAAUAUCCGGCACUCGAGGAGGAGCCUGCGUCGCAUCAGCUAGUUGGUGGGGUAAUGGCCUACCAAGGCGAAGACGCGUAGCUGGUCUGAGAGGAUGAUCAGCCACACUGGGACUGAGACACGGCCCAGACUCCUACGGGAGGCUG